GAUCCUGGCUCAGGAUGAACGCUAGCGACAGGCUUAACACAUGCAAGUCGAGGGGCAGCGGGGUGUAGCAAUACACCGCCGGCGACCGGCGCACGGGUGAGUAACGCGUAUGCAACUUGCCUAUCAGAGGGGGAUAACCCGACGAAAGUCGGACUAAUACCGCAUGAAGCAGGGAUCCCGCAUGGGAAUAUUUGCUAAGAUUCAUCGCUGAUAGAUAGGCAUGCGUUCCA
This 230-nucleotide ribosomal RNA is filed under the name uncultured bacterium. RNAcentral's name for it is "partial 16S ribosomal RNA". It matches the Rfam family "Bacterial small subunit ribosomal RNA", at positions 15 to 240 of the family's 1533-position model. The record is from RNAcentral.